Molecule: ribosomal RNA, 1381 nt
Filed under: Lactiplantibacillus plantarum
Lineage: Bacteria; Bacillati; Bacillota; Bacilli; Lactobacillales; Lactobacillaceae
Description: Lactobacillus plantarum 16S ribosomal RNA
Rfam family: Bacterial small subunit ribosomal RNA
Source: RNAcentral
GAGUGGCGAACUGGUGAGUAACACGUGGGAAACCUGCCCAGAAGCGGGGGAUAACACCUGGAAACAGAUGCUAAUACCGCAUAACAACUUGGACCGCAUGGUCCGAGCUUGAAAGAUGGCUUCGGCUAUCACUUUUGGAUGGUCCCGCGGCGUAUUAGCUAGAUGGUGGGGUAACGGCUCACCAUGGCAAUGAUACGUAGCCGACCUGAGAGGGUAAUCGGCCACAUUGGGACUGAGACACGGCCCAAACUCCUACGGGAGGCAGCAGUAGGGAAUCUUCCACAAUGGACGAAAGUCUGAUGGAGCAACGCCGCGUGAGUGAAGAAGGGUUUCGGCUCGUAAAACUCUGUUGUUAAAGAAGAACAUAUCUGAGAGUAACUGUUCAGGUAUUGACGGUAUUUAACCAGAAAGCCACGGCUAACUACGUGCCAGCAGCCGCGGUAAUACGUAGGUGGCAAGCGUUGUCCGGAUUUAUUGGGCGUAAAGCGAGCGCAGGCGGUUUUUUAAGUCUGAUGUGAAAGCNUUCGGCUCAACCGAAGAAGUGCAUCGGAAACUGGGAAACUUGAGUGCAGAAGAGGACAGUGGAACUCCAUGUGUAGCGGUGAAAUGCGUAGAUAUAUGGAAGAACACCAGUGGCGAAGGCGGCUGUCUGGUCUGUAACUGACGCUGAGGCUCGAAAGUAUGGGUAGCAAACAGGAUUAGAUACCCUGGUAGUCCAUACCGUAAACGAUGAAUGCUAAGUGUUGGAGGGUUUCCGCCCUUCAGUGCUGCAGCUAACGCAUUAAGCAUUCCGCCUGGGGAGUACGGCCGCAAGGCUGAAACUCAAAGGAAUUGACGGGGGCCCGCACAAGCGGUGGAGCAUGUGGUUUAAUUCGAAGCUACGCGAAGAACCUUACCAGGUCUUGACAUACUAUGCAAAUCUAAGAGAUUAGACGUUCCCUUCGGGGACAUGGAUACAGGUGGUGCAUGGUUGUCGUCAGCUCGUGUCGUGAGAUGUUGGGUUAAGUCCCGCAACGAGCGCAACCCUUAUUAUCAGUUGCCAGCAUUAAGUUGGGCACUCUGGUGAGACUGCCGGUGACAAACCGGAGGAAGGUGGGGAUGACGUCAAAUCAUCAUGCCCCUUAUGACCUGGGCUACACACGUGCUACAAUGGAUGGUACAACGAGUUGCGAACUCGCGAGAGUAAGCUAAUCUCUUAAAGCCAUUCUCAGUUCGGAUUGUAGGCUGCAACUCGCCUACAUGAAGUCGGAAUCGCUAGUAAUCGCGGAUCAGCAUGCCGCGGUGAAUACGUUCCCGGGCCUUGUACACACCGCCCGUCACACCAUGAGAGUUUGUAACACCCAAAGUCGGUGGGGUAACCUUUUAGGAACCAGCCGCCUAA